This 425-nucleotide ribosomal RNA is filed under the name uncultured bacterium. Its description in RNAcentral is "bacterial SSU rRNA". It matches the Rfam family "Bacterial small subunit ribosomal RNA", at positions 30 to 455 of the family's 1533-position model. The record is from RNAcentral.
AUUGAACGCUGGCGGCAUGCCUUACACAUGCAAGUCGAACGGCAGCACGGGAGCAAUCCUGGUGGCGAGUGGCGAACGGGUGAGUAAUAUAUCGGAACGUGCCCAGUCGUGGGGGAUAACGUAGCGAAAGCUACGCUAAUACCGCAUACGAUCUAUGGAUGAAAGCGGGGGAUCGCAAGACCUCGCGCGAUUGGAGCGGCCGAUAUCAGAUUAGGUAGUUGGUGAGGUAAAGGCUCACCAAGCCGACGAUCUGUAGCUGGUCUGAGAGGACGACCAGCCACACUGGGACUGAGACACGGCCCAGACUCCUACGGGAGGCAGCAGUGGGGAAUUUUGGACAAUGGGCGCAAGCCUAAUCCAGCAAUGCCGCGUGCAGGAUGAAGGCCUGGUGUACGUAGUACGUUUGUUUACGGUAACGGUAAACC